Small nucleolar RNA from Monodelphis domestica (gray short-tailed opossum), 199 nucleotides. RefSeq annotates it as small nucleolar RNA SNORD97. NCBI's taxonomy places the organism in Eukaryota, Metazoa, Chordata, Mammalia, Didelphimorphia, Didelphidae. The record is from RefSeq and is a predicted model, not a curated record.
UGGCCCAAUGAUGAUCAAAAGUUGCGCUUAGAGAGAACAGGACUAACUUUUCAAGGUCCAGGCAUUUCUGUGCUUUUGCCUUUCUCCUCUUUUUUUCUCUUCUUCCUUUCUUUUAAGUCUUUUUUUCUUUCUUUUCCUGCCUAGACUGAGAUUGUGUGUCCUUCUCAAUGACGGGUAAGAUUAUGAGAUCUGAGGGCUA